RNAcentral lists this unclassified non-coding RNA (1009 nucleotides) under Hevea brasiliensis (rubber tree). Lineage: Eukaryota; Viridiplantae; Streptophyta; Magnoliopsida; Malpighiales; Euphorbiaceae. The record is from RNAcentral.
UUUUUUUAAAAAAAAAAAGCAUUUUCUUUAUCCAUCUAAUCUCAUGUACACAUUCCACAUAAAUUCUGAAAUCCCACCACUUGGAUUUGGAAUCCACAGCUCAGAUUCCAAUUCCAUCUCCAAAACCAAAAUCCACUUGAGAAGACAUAAGAGAUUAACAUAAUAAUAUAACACAGAACUAGAUGUACAUGAAAUAAAAGGUAAUAGAAUAAUAGCAAUAAUGAACUAGUUACAUCUUUUCACAACUUUAUUAUACCUCUAAAUUACUGAGACCCAAAAUUAUCAACACCAAAUCAUCUGCUCCCAGGUUCCAUUCCCACAAAUGUAGCAUAUUCGAGAACCGUGUAGCCUUCAUGAAAAGUCCUCCUUACAUUAGACUCAUAGCUCUCUAUUGAAUUUUAAGGUCAUUGUGAAUACAAGAGGUGAUAAACAUAGCAAUUCAGUUACAUUGAAACUUUAACAUGUUGCUCAUCCUAAAAAGGUUAAAAAAUUGACAAUAAAAGAAAUAUAAUAUUUUAAGGAAAAAAAUACACCUAGCCUGGGCUCAAUUUCUUUAGAUUCUAACCCAGAAGGUUAUCUCACCCUUUUUUUCCCUAACUUCUGUUGUAACAAUAAAAUGGUGAAUGAAUAUUUUUCCCUUUCCAAAGUGAACUUUCUCACUUCUCCUUCCUGUGUUGUUAAUGUUACCCUCAACGCCACUAACAACAAAACCCCAAAAAAAAACAUGAAAUUAUCUACCAAAACCUUGCCUGUUUUCAGUAUCUAAAGAGACUCAGUAGAAAUGAUUUUAAUUUUGCUGAGCCACAAGCUGAUCAAUCUGCAAUUGCUCAAUCCAUGCCCCCACUGCCUGAUCAACUGAUUCAAUUUGGGAGUUCAUAAUCAGACCCUCGCUUGAAGAAGCACUAGCUGCAAUGCCAGUGGAGACGGGCAUGGCCAACUUUUCUUUAAUCUCAUUUGGAGACUCCUUAAUAAAUGAUUGUACCCAUGAUAGAUCAGGCUCCUCUCCAUU